Molecule: small RNA, 636 nt
Filed under: Gonium pectorale
Lineage: Eukaryota; Viridiplantae; Chlorophyta; Chlorophyceae; Chlamydomonadales; Volvocaceae
Description: eukaryotic LSU rRNA
Rfam family: 5.8S ribosomal RNA (bases 215-368)
Source: RNAcentral
AAUCUAUCACAAUCCACACUACCGCGAACCGAUACUGUUGGCCUCUAAAUAGCUUGCCUAUUUAGGCUAGGCAUGUGUGUAUGUACGUACAUGCAUGUCUAGGUCGUUGCCAAACAUUUUGGCGGCGUCGGUCUUAUACUAACCAACCAACACCAAACCAAUUUAUUAUUUAAUUCGAGUGCUCAGCUUAGAGCUGACACUCACCAACCAAGACAACUCUCAACAACGGAUAUCUUGGCUCUCAGAUCGAUGAAGAACGCAGCGAAAUGCGAUACGUAGUGUGAAUUGCAGAAAUACGUGAAUCAUCGAAUCUUUGAACGCAUAUUGCGCUCGAGGCUUCGGCCAAGAGCAUGUCUGCCUCAGCGUCGGGUUAAUACUCGCUCCCUACCACUGUGUGUGGUAUGGGAACGGAACUGGCUGUCUUGGCAAUCAAUUUGAAUUAAUUGACUGCCGGGUCAGUUGAAGUAUGCAGAGGUUAUUGCAUGGACCCGUUUAUGGGCCUCUACUGGGUAGGCAACUUGUUGCUAAUGCUUUAGUAGAUGGCCUGGGACCGUGUGUGUUUUAACCCAAACCAGGAACUCAAUAUGUAAUAUUAUUGAGCAACUGUUUAUUUUCUCGACCUGAGCUCAGGCAAGA